CCCCCUGAGCAUCGAUGCUCUGAGUCUAAUGCACUUUUAUUACCUGAUCCUCCCUCUUUCCGCGUUAGCAAAGCCAAACAAGGGAAAGGGAAAUCAGGUAGGGUGUUAUUAGAAGUUACUACAGCAACGGCUUGGCUUUGGGGACGGCCUCGCAGCGAUUCCCCCCCCCCCCAUCCUCGAGGGAGCAGCUCUCUGCGCUCAAAGCCCUGGAGCUGCUUUCUCCCGCUUCAGCCUGAUGUUGUGCAUUUAGGCCGAGGCGAUUCGUCGCUGUGGGGAACCAGCGCUUUGCUGGAUGGUGUUGAAUUUCCUGGGUGGGAGGAGAGAAGGAAGAUUCCAGCUCGGAGAGAGUUGCGCCUCCAAAUCCAGGCUGCUCUAGAUCUCUCUCUUUCUCUCUCGCACGCGCCCCGUUCCCAACCCCACGCCACAAAACAUGCGCCCUGGGGACAGCGGAUCAAGUGGCUUGUUAAAUUGCAAACACUCGCAGGAACCUCCAGACUGGAAACUUAAGGAGCUGAGCUGACCAAGCGAACUAAAUCUACAUAGUAGCUCCUCCCUCGCUGUCCACCAAGCUACUCCUGCCUGCAGCCUGCCUAGGAAACUUUUCUCCAAAAGCCGAUUCCUUGCAAACUUUACUGGAGAAUCUGAAGCAGCUAAGGGGAGGACUUGGGGGCUGCGUGGCAGGAAGGGGAGUUCGUUUACUGGGAAGGGAAGCAGGGGCGCUGAGUUGGGGCAUGCUGGUUAUAAAGUAGCCUGCCACCAAAAAAAAAAAAAAAAAAAGGAGAGGAGAGGAGAGGAGAGGAGGAGGAGAAGAAAAGGCAUCGCUCCUUGUUCAGUUUUGAAACUGCCUGAGUAGAAAUUGCUAGCCAAAAUUUGCGGGGGGGAGAGGGGAGUUCGACAUUCCGCGGCCAGCAAGGCCCGGUGCACCCUUCUCUUCGGAGGCAUUGGGGCUUCUUAGCACUUGGAGCAGUUUUCCAGAGAGGUUGUCGAGGGUUGUCAAGAGAGGCAUGUUACUUAGGCCAUUCUCUUCUAUGGUGUGAGAGAAAAGGUAGGGGGAGGGCAGAAACUCAGUGUUAGGGCAUCUGCACUGCAUCCAGAAAGCCGAAGGUUCAAUCUUUGCCAUCUCCAGGAAAGGCUAAGAAAGACCCUUGUCUGAAACCCACGCCAAUCUGUGUAGACCAGUGUUUCCCAAACUUGGAUCUCCAGCUGUUUUUGAACGACAAUUCCCAUCAUCCCCGACCACUGGUCCUGCUAGCUAAGGAAGAUGGGAAUUGUAGUCCAAAAACAACUGGAGACCCUCAGCCCUUUUAAUCAGGGACGAUGGGAGCCGUAACCCAACAACUUAUGGGGAACUGAAGAUUGAGAAACACUCAUGCGGACAAUACUGAGUGAGAUGGACUGAUAGUCUGACAGCAUAAGGCAGAUUCCUGUAAUUCUGUUUAAGCAGCUUCCUGUAAUUCUGUUUAAGCACCACCAAUGAUGCUUUACAAUGUGGCCUUCCGCCUUGCUUCUGACAGGGCCCCUGGGACUUCAGCAGCUGCAAGAAAAUUUAUUUGUCUAUUAAUAUUUAUUAGAUUUUUAUACCACUCAAAAGAUCUCAAGGUUGUUCACAACAUAGAAAUACAAGAUAAAAGCACAAAUAAAUAGUUAAAACAGAAACAACAAAACAACAACCCCCUCCUCCCACACACACAUUUAAAAGGCUUUAGAAUGUUAAUCAGCCAAGGGCCUGGUUGAAGAUUACAUCAACCUGUACAUUUUGCCCCUUUCAUUCAUAGGCAAGUUAAACAUGGUGAGGGGAGUGAUAACAGCCCUGCAACAUCAGUAGGUCUGCCCCAACAGGAGGGGACCUGAGAAAAGCGCUCUCUCUGUGCGCAGGUAAACAGCAAGUACUUGAGAAGUGCACUCCCAGCACAAAGCAGAUAGUGUGGGACACUGGGGCAGCAUGGGGAGGACAUUGUGUGUACAGCACCCCUAAAAGGCACUUGCAUCCAGCACUGAAUGCACAUUAUUAUGCAGGCUGUACACGCCCCAAGAGUCGUAUGGCACCUAAAAGACUAACACAUUUAUUAUGCCACUUGCUUUUUGUGAACUACAUUCCACUUCAUCAGAUGUAUGAAGUGUUAUCCUGAGGUUUUGGUAUGGGGGGUGGGGCAGGUAGAGGGAAACUGUUAAAAGUGAAGUCUGAGGGAAAUGAAAAGCGGAAAAGUACAGAGAGUAAUAAUUCCAUAUUUAACAGUGGGACUUCACAAAUAGUUAUUGACGGCACAGGCACCAUGCUUUGUAAAGCAGUUAACAUCGCUAAUAUGCCAAAUGUCCUUUGUCUCGGUUCAGCCCACAAGUGAUAGCAUCGAACCCUUUCAUUCAAUUCAGUGGUUUCAUAUUGCAAUCUCCCUUUGAAUUUCCCUUGCUGCAGGAUGGCUACUUUAAGGUAAUUUACAGAGCAUUCUGGUAGGUUGAACUGUCCCACCACUGGUUUUUGAAUAUUGCCACUUUAGAUGUCAGAUUGGUGUCCAUUUAGUCUUUCAUAUUUAGACUGGCCUGUUUGUCCUGUGUAGAAUGCAGAGCAGCUUUGCUGGCAGAUGAGAACACAUGUUAUCACCUAGUUGUUCAUUGUGAUCCUUGUUUGCUCAUACUGGAGCUGCAAACAAAUACAUACAAAGCCAAGAAUGAAUAUUUAACCACUUGGAGCGUGCUGCUUAGCUAUGGUAUAUUUGUGCUACUGUGAGGGAAACUUUGGAGUCCUGUUACCAUCAUGCCAGGACACACCUAGUAACACACCGUUGCACAACACAACUGUCUGUUGUGAAUAAGCAAGGGGUCCAGAUAGAUCAGAACAGCAUUUCUAUACUGGAAAAAAUGGUAUGUAUCAUUUUACAGUACUUUCCCCUAGAGGCUACUAUCCUAUGCACACAUUCCUGGAAGUAAAUCCCAUUGAGCAUAAUAGAACUUUCUUUUGAAUAAGCAUGUCUAGGAUUACAUUGUAAGCGGUUUUGUAAUUGUGGCAAUUAAAUGUUGAAAGCAAAUUGUUAUAAUAAGAGUACCAUAUUAGAUGUCCUCAUUUUUUCAGUCCUCAAAGCUGAAAGCUCAGUGACUCUCGUGCAUUUUCUAUUUGAGUAGGAAUCAACACAACUCAAAUUAUAGUUGUUUGAGUACAUAAGUACAGGAGUGUUUUUUAUAUGGAAGCUGGAACCCUUGCCUGUAUUCUUGAUAAGCCUAUAUUGAGAGCCAACGUUGAAUUUAAUAGCGAAUGAAUCAAACAUUUCAGCUAGAAACAGCAGUCACCUUGAUUUGCUCACCUAUUCAUCUUGCUAUUUUCUUCAUUAUUUGAAACCUUAGUAGUUGUUUCUAAUCUGUAGUUGUUUAACGAUCUAGAAUGGUAAUAAGUAAAGUGAUAUAGAAACAUAGAAUUGUAGAGUUGGAGGGCACCAUGAGGGUCAUCUAGCCCAACCCCCAAUACAGGAAUCUUUUGUCCAACAUGGAGCUUGAAUCCAUGACCCUGAGAUUCAGGGUCUCCUGCUCCACCGACUGAGUUCUCCCAUGUGCCCGAGGAUUGAAUAGAAUAAUAUAAAAGGAAAUCAGUUUUGCAGGCUACACAGAAAAGGGCAGCCAAAAUGAUCAAGAGGAUGGAGCAGCUUUGCUAUCAGGAAAGGUUGCCCCAUUUUGGGACUUUUUAGUCUAGACCAGCGGUUCUCAACCUGUGGGUCCCCAGAUGUUGUUGGACUACAACUCCCAUCAUCCCUGAGCUCUGGCCUUGCUAGCUAGGGAUAAUGGGAGUUGUAGUCCAACAACAUCUGGGGACCCACAGGUUGAGAACCGCUGGUCUAGAUGAAGGGCAGGGAAGAGGUGACAUGAUAGAAAUCAAUAGCAUGGAGAAAGUGGAUAGCGAAAAGGUCGUUUUCCCUUCUAGCAUAAUGCUAGAACUCACAAACCUCCAAUGAAUCAGGAUGUUGGAUAAUUUGGGAUGGAUAAAAGGAAGAACUUAUUUAUGCAGAACAUAGUUAAACUAUGGAACUCCCUCCAUCAGGAGGCAGUGAUGGCGACCAACUAGAAUGGCUUUAAAAGAGCAUUAGACAUAGACUACCAGUCGCUAUCAGCCAUGAUGGCUGUGCUCUGCCUCCAGGGUCAGAAGCAGUAAUGCUUCUGGAUAGCUAUUGCUGGGAACCACAGGAGCGAAGAGGGUUCUUGUGUUCAGGUCCUGCUUGAGAGAUUCCCAUGGGGAUCUGCUUGGCUACUGAGAAUAGGAUGUGAACUAGAUGGGCCAUUAGCCGGAUUCAGCA
This 4277-nucleotide long non-coding RNA is filed under the name Podarcis muralis (Common wall lizard). RNAcentral's name for it is "lncRNA (ENSPMRG00000014665.1)". Lineage: Eukaryota; Metazoa; Chordata; Lepidosauria; Squamata; Lacertidae. The record is from RNAcentral.